AUUUCAUGGAGAGUUUGAUCCUGGCUCAGGACGAACGCUGGCGGCGUGCCUAAUACAUGCAAGUCGAGCGGAUCUUGUCCUUCGGGACAAGGUUAGCGGCGGACGGGUGAGUAACACGUGGGUAACCUGCCCAUAAGACUGGGAUAACAUUCGGAAACGAAUGCUAAUACCGGAUACGCGAAUCGGUCGCAUGGCCGAAUCGGGAAAGGCGGAG
RNAcentral lists this ribosomal RNA (214 nucleotides) under Paenibacillus catalpae. RNAcentral describes it as "partial 16S rRNA. Bacterial SSU". It matches the Rfam family "Bacterial small subunit ribosomal RNA", at positions 1 to 213 of the family's 1533-position model. The record is from RNAcentral. Lineage: Bacteria; Bacillati; Bacillota; Bacilli; Caryophanales; Paenibacillaceae.